AGAGUUUGAUUCUGGCUCAGAACGAACGCUGGCGGCGUGGAUAAGACAUGCAAGUCGAACGAGAGAAUUGCUAGCUUGCUAAUAAUUCUCUAGUGGCGCACGGGUGAGUAACACGUGAGUAACCUGCCCCCGAGAGCGGGAUAGCCCUGGGAAACUGGGAUUAAUACCGCAUAGUAUCGAAAGAUUAAAGCAGCAAUGCGCUUGGGGAUGGGCUCGCGGCCUAUUAGUUAGUUGGUGAGGUAACGGCUCACCAAGGCGAUGACGGGUAGCCGGUCUGAGAGGAUGAACGGCCACACUGGAACUGAGACACGGUCCAGACUCCUACGGGUGGCAGCAGUCGAGAAUCAUUCACAAUGGGGGAAACCCUGAUGGUGCGACGCCGCGUGGGGGAAUGAAGGUCUUCGGAUUGUAAACCCCUGUCAUGUGGGAGCAAAUUAAAAAGAUAGUACCACAAGAGGAAGAGACGGCUAACUCUGUGCCAGCAGCCGCGGUAAUACAGAGGUCUCAAGCGUUGUUCGGAAUCACUGGGCGUAAAGCGUGCGUAGGCUGUUUCGUAAGUCGUGUGUGAAAGGCGCGGGCUCAACCCGCGGACGGCACAUGAUACUGCGAGACUAGAGUAAUGGAGGGGGAACCGGAAUUCUCGGUGUAGCAGUGAAAUGCGUAGAUAUCGAGAGGAACACUCGUGGCGAAGGCGGGUUCCUGGACAUUAACUGACGCUGAGGCACGAAGGCCAGGGGAGCGAAAGGGAUUAGAUACCCCUGUAGUCCUGGCAGUAAACGGUGCACGCUUGGUGUGCGGGG
RNAcentral lists this ribosomal RNA (800 nucleotides) under human gut metagenome. RNAcentral's name for it is "bacterial SSU rRNA". It matches the Rfam family "Bacterial small subunit ribosomal RNA", at positions 8 to 829 of the family's 1533-position model. The record is from RNAcentral.